Long non-coding RNA from Cydia pomonella (codling moth), 318 nucleotides. RefSeq lists it as uncharacterized. Lineage: Eukaryota; Metazoa; Arthropoda; Insecta; Lepidoptera; Tortricidae. The transcript is spliced from 2 exons. The record is from RefSeq and is a predicted model, not a curated record.
UGUGGUUUCGGAUAAUGAUAGAACUCACGGCGCCCCUCUUUACUUUCUACGGCGCACCAGGGCGCCGCGGCGCACACUUUGGGAACCCCUGAGUUAUACUAUGCCAAUCAGACCUACUUGACAUAGGUCAAAGUAGAUCUGACCUGCUCCAUCCAAUGCCACAUUAUGGGGCAGCUAAAUCUGUCCGCAAUCACCUUCAGAAUGCUGUUUCGACUUUCCCUUACGCGACCCAUUAGCGACGUGAUUUUUUUACGCAUUAUCGCGUGAAAAUCGUCCGUGUGCGCUUGGGCGAACAUUCCUGAUGCACUGCACCAUUUU